Lathyrus oleraceus (garden pea) is the source of this 2290-nucleotide long non-coding RNA. RefSeq lists it as uncharacterized. The transcript is spliced from 3 exons. Lineage: Eukaryota; Viridiplantae; Streptophyta; Magnoliopsida; Fabales; Fabaceae. The record is from RefSeq and is a predicted model, not a curated record.
CUCAAGGACCUAAAGCCCAUACCUAAACGCGCGCAAGGAGAAGAUUCAAACUGAUGGCCUUGAGCGCUCAGUUCAAAUUUUGGCCGACGAUAGCCUUCCACCGCGCCGGUCAUCGCCUUCGGCGGCGGAGGAGGUUCAAAACAAACAAACCAAAAACCUACAGAAUCGUCUCAUCUUGCAGAAACCCAAACUAGACCAAGCUAAAGCUAAUUUCUCACGAAUCAAGAGAAUUGAGGGGAGUUACGGACGAAUCCUAAAUUCUAGAUCCCAAAUUAAACUUCGAAGCGUAACGAAACAGAGUCCAAAACCAUGGGGGUUUGGCUCCUCACAUCAUGCUUUAUAUCGUAGCAACAAUAAAUGUGCUUCGGCGUUGUUGAACCGAGGAAGAUGAAAUCCAAGAAAAUACCAGAGGAAGUGCAAUUGUCCAGGUUGCAGUUUUAAGAUCUUUUGUUGGCUUAGUUGCAAAGUAACAAAUGGCUUCAACAUGACCUGCAAAUGCAGGUGACAAUUCUAGUGGUUAUGUUUGGUUAAGUGUGAGUUUAUAUUCUGUUAUCCUUUGCUUAGGUGGUUAGGGAAGUUAAUCUGUUAGUUAGAUGGGAUGAGCUAGCUCAACUGUAUUGAGUUGGAAACUCGAGUUAGCCUAAUGUGAUGGGAAUUUGGAAAACUCUUUUGCUUGCAGCUAAGUCAACAACUGAGUUGUUACUCUCUCUAUUAGACAUGUUAUUUAGUGGAGAUGUUAAGUUGAAUGGUGAGUUGAGAAAUUGUUUAUAUGCACUUCCGUGUUAAUGUGAAUAUGACAGUUGAUGUGUGGCCUACUAUGAAUUAACCUUAUGUUAUUUUGGAUGAAUGCAAUUCAAUGCCCUACUGCUUGUUAUGCCAGAAUGUAUAUGUACUGGAAGUGUUUCCAUUUGCUUUGGUUGUUGCUAUAUGAUACUACUAACUUUGUUGUGCAUUGUUGAUGCAGAAUGGUGUUAGGGAAAUGCAGGUUUAGGAUGGUCAUGGCUACAGUUGUGCAAUUCCCAUUGAAGUGAAGGUAAUUGAUGGUUGCUGCUGAAAGAAGGGUUGGUGUUUAAAUGGUGAUGCAAGAAUAGUUCAGGUUUAUUGAACCUUAACUAAAUGGUUCAGGUGAUGCCUGAUUUUAUUUGAUGUGCUAACUGUCAUUCUUGUGGCACUGUCAAGGCAGUAGUCCUGCAAUGAUUGCUAUUGCCUAUAUAUUGGAGGUUGUGUCCUUGUAUCUUCCCAAAUGAUGCCUCAUGUACCCAGCACAAUAGGCAGUGUGACAAUGCUCUUACAACUUCUAUUCCUGCUAUGAAAGCCCAAUGUUGCUAUGUGUGGAUGAUUGUGUUGCAACGCUGCAAGACUUGAUGUGCUUUAAAUCUGGUUUACAACAUAUGGUUCAAUUGGUAGGCACUAUUGAGACUUUGUGUAUUGCUCCUGUUAUAUCCCUGUUAUGACUUGACUCCAUGGCAUGUUUUUUUGGUCUACAACAAGGUUUUGCUAGUGUGCAUUGCAAUGCUGACUUGGUUAGGUUCUUUGGUUGCAUUGCAUCUUGGUUACAUGCAUUAUUUUGCUGUUGGAUUAAUUAUGCUCUUGGCUUGAUGCAUGUUGGUUUUGCUAGCAGGUCCAUGAUGAUUGCAGCCUGUGUUCAGUUUAUGUUGUGAUGUUUUGUAGCUUUAUUCAGUUUUAUUACACUGGUUUGUAGUUCAUGUCUUUACUGCAUCUUGAAAUGGCUUUUGUCUUAUGUAGCAUAUGCAUUCUUUUGACCUUGUAUUGCAUUGUCUUGCUAGAUUUAUAAAGUGUUCUAAUGGACUACAGUAGGCUAGGUGAAUGGUCUUAUUGGUUCUGCAAUGCACUGCAUGGUUUGCAUCAUGAUGUAGCUUGGCUUGUGUUAUUGAUUCUGACCUUGAGAUGAGUUUAAGCAACAUGUAUGUUCACUUGGCUUGUGGUUGGUUGGUUGAACAAAGGUUUGCAACAUGAUGGCCAAGGUUGGAAUUUGAAGCAUUAUGCCCACAUGACAAGGACUCAAGAAUCAAGGGUUGACAUUUGACCUUAGCAUUGGAAUUCGAAAUUGGACUUAGGGUUUUGGGAUGAAAAGGGAUUGAGUUGACUUUGGUCAAUGUUGACCCAAAAAGUCAAUUGUUGACCAAAGUCAACAAUUGGUCAACAUGUAAUUUUUUUGCAUUUUUGUAUGUAGUGAAACAUUUUAUUAUGGAACUUGAUGUAUAUGAGGUUGACACUUUUUUUUAUGCUUGUAAUGAUUUUGUAUGAACAUGAUUUGAAAUUAAUUAAA